RNAcentral lists this ribosomal RNA (329 nucleotides) under uncultured bacterium. RNAcentral's name for it is "bacterial SSU rRNA". It matches the Rfam family "Bacterial small subunit ribosomal RNA", at positions 568 to 898 of the family's 1533-position model. The record is from RNAcentral.
CGUGCAGGCGGUUUUGCAAGUCUGAUGUGAAAGACCUGGGCUUAACUCAGGGACCGCGUUGGAAACUGUGAGACUAGAAUCUUGGAGGGGGAGUUGGAAUUCCUAGUGUAGGGGUGAAAUCUGUUGAUAUUAGGAAGAACACCGGUGGCGAAGGCGAACUCCUGGCCGAAGAUUGACGCUGAGGCGCGAAAGCGUAGGUAGCAAACAGGAUUAGAUACCCUGGUAGUCUACGCUGUAAACGAUGUACACUUGGUGUUGGGCCGAUUAGGUUCAGUGCCGAAGCUAACGCGAUAAGUGUACCGCCUGGGGAGUAUGCCCGCAAGGGUGAA